GUCAUGUUGACACUGGUCUACUACCAGGUCAUGUGUCUUCUCAGUCAUGUUGACACUGGUCUACUACCAGGUCAUGUGUCUUCUCAGUCAUGUUGACACUGGUCUACUACCAGGUCAUGUGUCUUCUCAGUCAUGUUGACACUGGUCUACUACCAGGUCAUGUGUCUUCUCAGUCAUGUUGACACUGGUCUUCUACCAGGUCAUGUGUCUUCUCAGUCAUGUUGACACUGGUCUACUACCAGGUCAUGUGUCUUCUCAGUCAUGCUGA
Long non-coding RNA from Oncorhynchus keta (chum salmon), 268 nucleotides. RefSeq lists it as uncharacterized. Lineage: Eukaryota; Metazoa; Chordata; Actinopteri; Salmoniformes; Salmonidae. The transcript is spliced from 3 exons. The record is from RefSeq and is a predicted model, not a curated record.